RNAcentral lists this ribosomal RNA (512 nucleotides) under uncultured bacterium. Its description in RNAcentral is "partial 16S ribosomal RNA". It matches the Rfam family "Bacterial small subunit ribosomal RNA", at positions 28 to 523 of the family's 1533-position model. The record is from RNAcentral.
GACGAACGCUGGCGGCGUGCCUAACACAUGCAAGUCGAACGGGGAGUUAUUUAUAACUCCUAGUGGCGAGCGGGUGAGUAACGCGUAGACAACCUGCCUCUAAAUUGGGGACAACACCGCGAAAGUGGUGCUAAUACCGAAUGUGGUAUCUUGGUCGCAUGACUAGGAUAAGAAAGGUGGCCUCUGAAUAUGCUGCCGAUUAGAGAUGGGUCUGCGUCUGAUUAGCUAGUUGGUGAGGUAAUGGCUCACCAAGGCGACGAUCAGUAGCCGGUCUGAGAGGAUGAACGGCCACACUGGGACUGAGACACGGCCCAGACUCCUACGGGAGGCAGCAGUGGGGAAUCUUCCGCAAUGGACGAAAGUCUGACGGAGCAACGCCGCGUGAGUGAAGAAGGUCUUCGGAUUGUAAAGCUCUGUCGUUUGGGACGAACGUAUCUUGUGUGAAUAAUGCAGGGUAAUGACGGUACCAAAGGAGGAAGCCACGGCUAACUACGUGCCAGCCGCCGCCGUAA